RNAcentral lists this ribosomal RNA (483 nucleotides) under uncultured bacterium. RNAcentral describes it as "bacterial SSU rRNA". It matches the Rfam family "Bacterial small subunit ribosomal RNA", at positions 29 to 506 of the family's 1533-position model. The record is from RNAcentral.
AUUGAACGCUGGCGGAAUGCUUUACACAUGCAAGUCGAGCGGCAGCACGGGGGCAACCCUGGUGGCGAGCGGCGAACGGGUGAGUAACACAUCGGAACGUACCCUGUCGUGGGGGAUAACGAAUCGAAAGAUUCGCUAAUACCGCAUACGACCCGAGGGUGAAAGCGGGGGGAUCGCAAGACCUCGCGCGACAGGAGCGGCCGAUGGCGGAUUAGCUAGUUGGUGGGGUAAAGGCCCACCAAGGCGACGAUCCGUAGCGGGUCUGAGAGGACGGCCCGCCACACUGGGACUGAGACACGGCCCAGACUCCUACGGGAGGCAGCAGUGGGAAUUUGGACAAUGGGGGCAACCCUGAUCCAGCCAUUCCGCGUGAGUGAAGAAGGCCUUCGGGUUGUAAAGCUCUUUCGGCAGGAACGAAAAGGCGUACUCUCUAACAUAGGGGGUCAAUGACGGUACCUGAAGAGAAGCACCGGCUAACUACGU